Molecule: ribosomal RNA, 461 nt
Filed under: Staphylococcus aureus
Lineage: Bacteria; Bacillati; Bacillota; Bacilli; Caryophanales; Staphylococcaceae
Description: partial 23S ribosomal RNA
Rfam family: Bacterial large subunit ribosomal RNA
Source: RNAcentral
CCUUGGUCAGGUUGAAGUUCAGGUAACACUGAAUGGAGGACCGAACCGACUUACGUUGAAAAGUGAGCGGAUGAACUGAGGGUAGCGGAGAAAUUCCAAUCGAACCUGGAGAUAGCUGGUUCUCUCCGAAAUAGCUUUAGGGCUAGCCUCAAGUGAUGAUUAUUGGAGGUAGAGCACUGUUUGGACGAGGGGCCCCUCUCGGGUUACCGAAUUCAGACAAACUCCGAAUGCCAAUUAAUUUAACUUGGGAGUCAGAACAUGGGUGAUAAGGUCCGUGUUCGAAAGGGAAACAGCCCAGACCACCAGCUAAGGUCCCAAAAUAUAUGUUAAGUGGAAAAGGAUGUGGCGUUGCCCAGACAACUAGGAUGUUGGCUUAGAAGCAGCCAUCAUUUAAAGAGUGCGUAAUAGCUCACUAGUCGAGUGACACUGCGCCGAAAAUGUACCGGGGCUAAACAUAUUAC